UCAGUCAGCGCUGAGAAUAACAGAAACUAACCAGGAUUCCCUUAGUAACGGCGAGUGAACUGGGAUACCAAUAUAUUUAUGCGUCUCUGGCGCAUAUUUUUAGCCCGUCGAUACUAUCCUAGCGUAUUACCGGUUUCGGCCGGUAGCCCAAUACGCGGGAAUUGUAGCAUCGUAAUAAAAUAUACACCAUGCCUGCGUCGCAAACGUAUAUACACGUAUACUCACACACACAUACUCGUACGCGUACACANCCCUUGCAAACACACAGCGCUCCCGCGUUGGAAAGCAAGUCUAUAUCCUCUUUGGAUAUGCCAUAGAGUGUGACAGCCACGUUUGAAACACCCUUACGUACCGUACACACACACAUACGUAAAAAUACGCGCCGUUUCGCAUACGCAUACCGUAUAUAACCUGAGUCGAGUUAUUUGGGACUAUAGCUCUAAUAGUUUGGUUGGUGGUAAUGACACAUCAAAGGCUAAAUAUUGGUUAGGCGAUGCAUUUUACGGAGACCGAUAGCAUACAAGUACCGUAAGGGAACGAUGAAAAGCACCCUAUUAAGUUCACGGUGUCGGCCGCGUACAAUUCGUUGUACAACGGCGCGCCCAACAACUACAGUGGGAGUGAAAGAGAGAGU
This 634-nucleotide ribosomal RNA is filed under the name Ammonia beccarii. RNAcentral's name for it is "partial LSU ribosomal RNA". It matches the Rfam family "Eukaryotic large subunit ribosomal RNA", at positions 43 to 400 of the family's 3401-position model. Lineage: Eukaryota; Foraminifera; Rotaliida; Rotaliidae. The record is from RNAcentral.